UGCUAUGAUGAACCUUACUGAUAGGAAUUGCCGUCUGAUAAUUGAUGACCGUGUUCUAGCUGACU
Small nucleolar RNA from Rhopalosiphum maidis (corn leaf aphid), 65 nucleotides. RefSeq annotates it as small nucleolar RNA SNORD49. Lineage: Eukaryota; Metazoa; Arthropoda; Insecta; Hemiptera; Aphididae. The record is from RefSeq and is a predicted model, not a curated record. The transcript has a single exon.